Long non-coding RNA from Neoarius graeffei (lesser salmon catfish), 2440 nucleotides. RefSeq lists it as uncharacterized. Lineage: Eukaryota; Metazoa; Chordata; Actinopteri; Siluriformes; Ariidae. The transcript has 5 exons. The record is from RefSeq and is a predicted model, not a curated record.
ACUGAGUCUCAUAUUUCAACAUUAGUCAGCUCUCUCUCUCUCUCCCCGUCCACUCUUUCUCUGGCUCUCUUUCCUAUGCUCCCCUCAUUUCCUUCUCUCAGUCCUCUCUUUAAGAUAUGGGGUAGAUUGCUGGAGCUAAACUGAAAAAGCGUGGCAGGAAAGAAGGGAAGGGAAAGAAAAAGAAGGCAAAAAAAACCCCUUUCGGCUGCUUUUUCUGCUGCAAGGGCCUCCCCACCAGCGGGCCUAGCCAGAAAGGGAGGGCUUCUGCUCUCCUAAUAGGAUUUAACCCUCUGUCUACAGCCGCUGCACUGCAGCCGAACCAAACCCUGCCAACAAGUCACACUCUCCAGCGCAUUGCUUGAGGUCUCAUGCACCAGUUUUCGGCACUGGAGAUUUUAUUUUGUUUCGGUUUGGUUUUGAGUUCUUCGUUUAUGCCUCGUGAUGAUUAUCAGUUGUAGCUUUUUGAGAGUGAUUUGGAGCAUGGGAUCUCAUUGGACGUAGAGAACUAUACAGUAGGGUAGUGGUGUACGGGAGCUGUGUCUGGGACAGAUGCCAAUUGCUCACAAAAGACUGAAAAAAAAAAUUCGGGCCACUGGACCAAAAACAGAGCACAGAUUUUUUUUUUUUUGCUGUGAAAAUGUUACACAGACACGUGAGAGAGGGAGCGCGGAGGAAAAUGUGGCUCUCCUUCUGUGGCGGAUUCUUCAUGCACAGACUCUCCCAGAACUAAACGCAAAAUCCUGCUCUCUGGAACACAUGCUUGGAGGGAGUACUGUACUUCCAGAAGCUGGUCGUGCUGAUGGUUCAGAAGCCCAAGAGGGAAGAGAGAAAGGCACAACUGAGAGACGCCAAGAGGGGAGGGAAUGGAGGAAAGAAGGAAAGCGGAAGGAGGAGGAGGGGAGGACCUUUUCCAGCCUGUUAAAUGUUCCCCAGGCCCAGCCAAGGCGAAGGCAGGCACUGCAUGCUGAUUUGCAUUCAGCGGACAUGCUAAUUGUGUGUUUUCUAACAUGCUCCAUUCAUUCGGACGAGGCUCUAGUCUACAGACGGGCUUCAUACACGCCUCCCAGACACCCGCGUGGCCUCCUAUUGUUGCUGAGGCCACUUAACCGGGCCGAAGAGCUCCAGGCCCGGGCCGAGGCACAAUGCAGAGCAGGGGGUUAGCCUGGAUCUCUAGGCUGCUGUGGAGAGAGGACAGAACGGGGAAACACUUAGCUAGAACUCCCUUCUCAGAUUCGGAGUGCCUCUAUCAUUUCUAUCCCUCCACAAUGAAGAAGAUAUUGCGGGGAAAAAACCCUGGCUGAGAAGGAACGAGGCCAUAGGAAUUCGAACCUGAGUAUCCGAAACACUUUUAGAGCCUUGAGGGUUAGAUUUCUACAUUUUGCGUGAGAGAGUGAAGUCUUCAGGAUUAUACUGUGCAUUAAGGGUUGUCUGAAGCUUGAUCCUGUCUUACGCACUCUGAACAAGCUUUUUGCACAGAUGGAGGUGAGAAAUGCUGAGGCACACUGGAUAGAUGCACCAACAGACAAACCGAACUCCCUAACAGGAACAUUUGAUCUGGGUAUUGUAUGUUAACGUGAGUAAAAUUCAGUCUGGGUAAUUUUAUAGUUUUAUUCAUAACUACAUGUUUGCACUUAUAUUCGUUUUUUGUUAUUGCUCUUGUUAUGAUUCUGUACACUUUAUGAAACCCUGUUUCCAGCCUGAGCCGGAUCACCUGACCACUCUGCAGUGCAUUACACUGUCCUUUGGGGUGAGGUAGUAGGUUGUAUAGUUUUAGGGUCAUACCCUUGCUGUGAGAUAACUAUACAACUUACUGUCUUUCCUGAAGUGGCUAUAAUAUCAUCGUUAUGAUGUGAAGUGACUGCUACAGUUAUGGCAUGCUGCUUACUGCUACAGUUGGUGUCUUUCCUCUGAUCUGUUUAGUAUUAAGUAUGUCAGUGUCAAAUUUAUGCAAAACUAAUUAUAUAUUAUAUAUCUUUAUGUAUUUCUUCCCUGCAGACUGUAAACCUGACUUGUUUCAUUGCGAUGUAUGAAUUAUGCAUUUACUGGACAGCAAUCAUCUUGCCUGAUUUUAUGUAUAUAUAUACAAUAUAAAAUUCUGUCCAUAUUCGCUGGAUAUGAGCAAUCGUGCACUCUGACUGGCUACUCUACUAAUAGGUUAUCAACUCAUAUAUCAUGAGUAGAGAAAACCAAAAUGGCGGAGCGUGUUGCUGCACCAACCGAGGAUGAAAUAAAAACUCGACUCAAACCCCCCCCCAAAUUAUCAAGUAUUAAAAAGAAAGAGAAAUAGUUAAAAGAAUAUAGUUUUUUUUUCCACGACCCAGUAUCUCCUGUUCCACAGUCCAGCCUAGUCAGUGGCGGUAAUGCACCUUUAAAGUGCCAUUCCACCAUUGGAUGUAUUCUUUGGCAUAAAAUACAAUAUAUUUUAUGACAACAUGACUAG